UACAUGGGGUGCAAACGUUGCUCGGAAUCAUUGGGCGUAAAGCGCGCGUAGGCGGUUGCUUAUGUCGGAUGUGAAAGCCCUCGGCUUAACUGAGGAAGUGCAUCCGAAACUGGGCAGCUAGAGUACGAAAGAGGGUCGCGGAAUUCCCGGUGUAGAGGUGAAAUUCGUAGAUAUCGAGAGGAACACCUGCGGCGAAGGCGGGUUGCUGGGCUGACACUGACGCUGAGGCGCGAAAGCUAGGGGAGCGAACGGG
This 253-nucleotide ribosomal RNA is filed under the name uncultured bacterium. Its description in RNAcentral is "partial 16S ribosomal RNA". It matches the Rfam family "Bacterial small subunit ribosomal RNA", at positions 524 to 776 of the family's 1533-position model. The record is from RNAcentral.